Molecule: ribosomal RNA, 617 nt
Filed under: uncultured bacterium
Lineage: Bacteria
Description: bacterial SSU rRNA
Rfam family: Bacterial small subunit ribosomal RNA
Source: RNAcentral
AGAGUUUGAUCCUGGCUCAGGAUGAACGCUGGCGGCGUGCCUAAUACAUGCAAGUCGAACGCACAGCGUAAGGUGCUUGCACCUUUCAAGUGAGUGGCGAACGGGUGAGUAACACGUGGACAACCUGCCUCAAGGCUGGGGAUAACAUUUGGAAACAGAUGCUAAUACCGAAUAAAACUCAGUGUCGCAUGACACAAAGUUAAAAGGCGCUUUGGCGUCACCUAGAGAUGGAUCCGCGGUGCAUUAGUUAGUUGGUGGGGUAAAGGCCUACCAAGACAAUGAUGCAUAGCCGAGUUGAGAGACUGAUCGGCCACAUUGGGACUGAGACACGGCCCAAACUCCUACGGGAGGCUGCAGUAGGGAAUCUUCCACAAUGGGCGAAAGCCUGAUGGAGCAACGCCGCGUGUGUGAUGAAGGCUUUCGGGUCGUAAAGCACUGUUGUAUGGGAAGAACAGCUAGAAUAGGGAAUGAUUUUAGUUUGACGGUACCAUACCAGAAAGGGACGGCUAAAUACGUGCCAGCAGCCGCGGUAAUACGUAUGUCCCGAGCGUUAUCCGGAUUUAUUGGGCGUAAAGCGAGCGCAGACGGUUGAUUAAGUCUGAUGUGAAAGCCCGGAG